GUGCCAGCAGCCGCGGUAAUACGGAGGGUGCGAGCGUUAAUCGGAAUUACUGGGCGUAAAGCGCAUGCAGGUGGAUGAUUAAGUCAGAUGUGAAAGCCCGGGGCUCAACCUCGGAAUAGCAUUUGAAACUGGUCAUCUAGAGUACUGUAGAGGGGGGUAGAAUUUCAGGUGUAGCGGUGAAAUGCGUAGAGAUCUGAAGGAAUACCAGUGGCGAAGGCGGCCCCCUGGACAGAUACUGACACUCAGAUGCGAAAGCGUGGGGAGCAAACAGGAUUAGAUACCCUGGUAGUCCACGCCGUAAACGAUGUCUACUUGGAGGUUGUGGCCUUGAGCCGUGGCUUUCGGAGCUAACGCGUUAAGUAGACCGCCUGGGGAGUACGGUCGCAAGAUUAAAACUUAAAUAAAUUGACGG
Molecule: ribosomal RNA, 412 nt
Filed under: uncultured Vibrio sp.
Lineage: Bacteria; Pseudomonadati; Pseudomonadota; Gammaproteobacteria; Vibrionales; Vibrionaceae
Description: bacterial SSU rRNA
Rfam family: Bacterial small subunit ribosomal RNA
Source: RNAcentral